Molecule: ribosomal RNA, 444 nt
Filed under: Triticum aestivum (bread wheat)
Lineage: Eukaryota; Viridiplantae; Streptophyta; Magnoliopsida; Poales; Poaceae
Description: partial small subunit ribosomal RNA
Source: RNAcentral
AUGUUUGGCAUUUUACCGUCAUUCUGGGUGCCCAUGGCGGCUCUGAAUUUCUCUGGGUCAGCCGCUGCUUGGCUGCAGUCCAUACAGAAGCGGCUCGUAGAUUUCGACUGGGAAGCAUUUACCUCUUUACUUUGCACUCGUUUCGGGCGCGAUCGGCACCAGACGCUGAUCAGACAGUUUUAUACUGUCCGCCAAACAUCUUCAGUAGCGCAUUACAUCGAGCAGUUUGAAUUGAUCAUCAAUCACUUGUCAUCAUAUUCUGACACGAGCCAUCCUUUUUAUUUCUUGACGCGUUUUGUCGAGGGACUAAGGAGGGACAUUCGGGCAGUGGUGCUGGUGCAAUGCUCACCGGACCUGGAUACGGCGUCCGUGCUCGCUCUACUUCAGGAAGAGGUGGCCGAGGGCGCGUUCGACAGUCUUCCACGCCCACCGGAGCCGGCCUAG